GAACUGAAGAGUUUGAUCCUGGCUCAGAUUGAACGCUGGCGGCAUGCCUUACACAUGCAAGUCGAACGGCAGCAUAGGUGCUUGCACCUGAUGGCGAGUGGCGAA
Molecule: ribosomal RNA, 105 nt
Filed under: Accumulibacter sp.
Lineage: Bacteria; Pseudomonadati; Pseudomonadota; Betaproteobacteria
Description: partial 16S ribosomal RNA
Rfam family: Bacterial small subunit ribosomal RNA
Source: RNAcentral